AGGCAAAAGAGAAUCAUCGGUUCAAACAAUAUCCAAAAUAAAUACCAAAUAUUUGUCAAAGAAAAUCACAGAGUGGGGGAGAAAAACAAAGAAAAACAAAAGGCAACACACAAAUUGCCCUGCAUCACAGUUAAGUAAGUUGUUGGCGCAUUUCAAAUCAACCACUUCUGCAAUUCUCUCGCGUGUCUCUAUUCGUUGAUACACUGUACGUCACCGCAUUCCUCAGACCUGCUUCAGCUUCUGGAUAUGAGCUGAUUUUCCCGCUGAAAAAGGCGUACGGUCAACGGGUUAAAUUCAAUAAUAAGACUGGAGAUUUAAUCAUGUGGAGAAAGAAGGCUCUUGCUAGCUCGCCUACGUAUUCUGAAAACUCCUACCCAACCAGGCACGGGCCAUGGAUCUACGAGCUCCCGAAGCCCUAACAGUCCUCACACCAUUGUGUAGUUGAAAAGCCAGAGCAAGAAGAUCAAGUAAUUC
RNAcentral lists this small RNA (474 nucleotides) under Histoplasma ohiense. RNAcentral's name for it is "hypothetical lncRNA". The record is from RNAcentral. Lineage: Eukaryota; Fungi; Ascomycota; Eurotiomycetes; Onygenales; Ajellomycetaceae.